Molecule: non-coding RNA, 9716 nt
Organism: Struthio camelus australis
Lineage: Eukaryota; Metazoa; Chordata; Aves; Struthioniformes; Struthionidae
Source: RefSeq, a predicted model, not a curated record
CUCGAUGCGAACAAGGGGCUCGCGGCGGGGGCGGGGGGCAGCAUCAGGUUGCCUAAGCCUCGCUGAGUAAGGCCAAGUUGCAGUAUGGUUUUCCAUUGAACAAAGAAACGAAGUAACUCGUUGCUCGCGGGGUUUGCUAUGCUGCGAGAACCUAGGAUAGGAAGGAACGUUUGUAGAGAGAUGCAAAUCCAAAAUUUUCAUCAAGGACUAAAAAAAAAUGUGCGGAAUUCUAGUAUUGUCUGCUAGGCCUUCACAGGGGCGGUCACGUUGAGUGAGGCUGAGGUACAUGUGGCCUAGCGUAUUGUUUGUGAGAGCAGCCAGCACUCGAUGCUUAGCAGUAGCUGGGUGCUGCUGCUCGUUUUUAGCCCUGGUUACAGUGUUUAGUCAAAGCAUUCCUAGUUUUGCAGGCAAAUCUUGUAGGAAGAUCACGGAGUCCGCAACACUUGCUUUUACUUUUUCUUUCCAUUUGUAGUUUGGGGUCUGUAACUAUCACUGAAAUAGUGCUUUUCAGAAGCUUUUAAUUGCUCUUCCAGAUUUUUCCUAGUGCUGGAGGGUGUUGCGCUUGCAGGUUCAUGACUCGGCGGGAAUACUGUUUAAUAUGCCCACCCUAUCUCCCUGGUCCUUUCACGAGCCCCCUCCAUUAGUCAUAUACAGUACAGUCACAGAGAUUUUAAAAACAGAUUUACAUAGGUUGAAGGAAAACCAUCACCAACCUGGAAUAUCUCAAGUCUUUUAGAAACCUCCAACAUUGUUCUGUGUUGCACUGCACAGCCGAAAAAAGACCAAGGAACCCGUGAUACUAGUGCCUGGCAUCUGUACAAUGGCAAAAGCAACUCAAAGUCCGUUGAACAUACUAAAGAUUAAAUAAAUAGUAAUAAAAAGGGGAGCUGGGGAAAAUUUACCAUCGUUUGACCAGUUCUGUAACCCUGAGAUUAUCCUGAAAGUGAGAAUAUCACAGGUUCCUUGAUAUUUGCAGAGGGCAAACAGCUCUUUCUCCUUUGAUACUAGUUAGCGAUGUGUGCAGAAAGAUCUGGAAUGAGAAGUUAAAAACAAGAGUCAUGCAAACAGCAGGUGUCAGUCAUUACAGUGGAAUUUGCCUGCCUUUUUAUUUUCAUGAACACACCCAUAGCAUAUUGGUUUGCCAUAUUACACUUAGAUGCUUUACAAACUAGGGAGAAGUGUGUUUGCUUUCGUUAGGGGUGGCUCAAUCUGCCGAUACCAUUCUUAAAGAUUCUUGAUGUUCUUCAUGUAUAUGUUUUUGAAUUCAAUAAAGUUGAGCAACGGUUACGCAAUUGAAAGCCUUAGCUAUGCCAAAAAGUUUUUCUGAAGCACGUUUUAAAAAAAGAUGCAAACAAUCUGCAGUAGCCAGUGAGCUGGUACCUGAUGUCUCCAAACUACUAAACAUGGAGGUCUGUGAAUACUUUAUUUUGCAGCAGAAUCCACAGCAAUUGGUGUCCACGGUGGCAGUCCUCUCCCGGUAGAAGCACACACAGUGGACAAUUUAAACCCAUUAACAAAGCAGAAUUAAUUAAAGUUCGUACUUUGUUGCUGAAAAACAGUACACUGCCAGAAGACAAUGGCAAUCAAUAAUUGCUACUUGAGUCAUGAAUGUGAAUACAUUAAUGAGCCUAAUUCUUCUGUGUCCUUUGGCCUGGGACCAUACAGUUUAUGGAAGCUCUUUCUUUAAACUGAGUGCAUGCGAAUCAUGCACUCAGUUUUUUGAACAUCAAAGUGGACUUAAAAAUAUAUGCCUUUGUUUCAUAUGUACACUCAUAGCAGGCUACAGUCACACGUACAGCAUUUGCAGUAUUGGUGAAGAGGCUACAGUCACACGUACAGCAUUUGCAGCAUUGGUGCCUAAACAGAUUUGGUGUCAGUGCUACGUUGCCUUUUGCCUUUCGUACUCGUCCUUCCUCAGCAUCAUCCUGCAGGUGCCAAGACCCCAUACCAGAGCGAUGGAAGGCUGCUAGGAGUGGAGGCUGGACCCUGACCCCUGCUACUGAAAAUGACUUUGGGAGGGCAUGAGCGCCUAGCUUGCCAAGCACGUAAAUGCACUUGGAGGAUACGACAUCUCAGCGUAUCACAUCUUCCAAAUCUGUGUGGUAUCUGUUGCGUCCGUGUUUGGUACCAUACCCUUGCACAUUUCUGCAGCGCCGGAGAGAUCUUUCACUAUCUCAGUGUCUGUGCUGUUUCAUUUGGGCUACAGCUAGGAGGAAUUCUUCCAUGCUUUCCAUCACAGUUACAAGCUCAAAACUGAGCACUGAGCUGCAUUGGCAAAGGAUGAUUGAGCCGAAAAGAAGGUGGCAUCACCUUCUGCUGCGCAAGUCUUCUGAGAAGGGAGAUUUAGGACAUAGCUCUGUUCUUGGCAUUUUCCAGUGGGUAACCUGACUACCUCAGUGCCUGACAUCCCCCAAUGAUUUUAUAGGUUUGUCAGCAAAAGAUUUCACAAAAGAUAAUACAAGAACGGGUUUCUCAGCAAAGAACUGCAAAUUGCUACAUGUAAUUACCUUAAUAGAAUAGAGAGGAUUUGUUUGGGAAAAGUAAGAAUCUGAAAUAGAAAAUCUCAAUUUCCUUACACAGUGAUAGAUGUUAGCUGUAAGAGAACUAUGGAAGGACAUUAGGCAGUAAAAUCCAUUAAUUUUCUGGGGUCAUAUGCAGUAGAUCAAGCUACAAGAAUGAAAAUUUACGAGAUCUCUCUUUACUUGCUGCAUUCAAAUUAGUUUUUAUGUGUAAGAAUUUUGAAAGUAGAAGCCUUUUUUAAUCAAAUCAUUUAAGAAUUUGUCUUCAAUUCUGUGUAUUGGAUCUGAUAAAUUAACUGGGAAUCUAGAAUCAUCUCUCAUCUAGUGAAAAAAAUUGCUUUUUUGGCUUUAAUACAACUUCUGAUUGGAAACAGUACACUGCUAGUAGGGGUUGAAUACUGGGUUUGCAUUGAUGUAAAAGAAAAAAUAUGACAUGAAAAGACUUGGCAUGAAAUUUGCUCAGGCUGGAGUAACAAAUACAGGUUUUUUUGCUCUGUCAAAUUAAGACAAAUUAAGAGGAAUUAGAUAUUUUUGAAAAAGAUGGAAGUCAAUUUUGGAGUCUAAAUUAAUAGCUCAGAGAAGCAGUGAAGAUUUUGAAGUCAUUCCCAGAAGGUGAUUUCUUUAAGCUCUUAACUCAUUGGUCUUAAAAGAAAACAGAGCAAUUCAGUAUUGCUAGUUAAAAUCUGAUUUUUUUUUUCCUCUGAAUAGCUUGAUAUGACACAAGAAGUGUAAUUAUGACCUCAGCCUUUUACAUAAACCUCUCUCUGUUUCAUAUUAACUUACUCUUUACCUUUCACUCCCUAAACUCUCCUUCUAUUGGUUUCAGUCGCAUUACUCCACAUUCCUCCUAGUAUUACUCAUUUUUGCUUACUCCAGUGAAGUUACUGGUGGUGACUGGCUUAAUCUGUCAAGAAAAGAUUCAAACCUUGUCCCCUUGUGGAGAGAAACAAUUUCUUUUUUCCAGGAUGUUGUCAUCUAAAAUGCAAAAAUCUGCUGCUGAGCUGGAUAUUAGGGUCUUCAAAUCGUCUACUCAUGAUACAAUAUUUCUUGUCUUUUACUUUCUUAGGAAAGCUGCAUUUCUUUUGAAAAAAAUCAGUAAAGCACUGUUAAAUACUCUAGUUCAGGCUCUACAGCAUUUGGAUGCUAAUCGAAGCCUACCUCUUCCACUCGUUUUUUGAGUUUAUGGAGUCAGGACUUCAAAUUUCCCGUCACAACGUACUCUAAUGGCUUUAAUACUGCAUAGCUCUUGUUAUGUAUUGGUUUUAAUUAUUAUUUCAUCAAUAGAAGCAUAAAGAAUUUCAUCAAUAGAAGCAUAAAGAAUUUGGAAUAUAAGUGUAAAUACUGAACGCUCACCAUGUUUUAAAAUCAAAAGUUUUUCCUUCAGACUGAUGUUGACCAGCUUAUUUUUUUAUAAGAAAAGAACAAGAACUUGAUGCAUUUGCAGAUUGAAGAGCAUGUUUAAAGUCAUCUUAGUUCAAACAUGUUUUCCAGCACAUUUAAAACUUAAGCCUGCUUUUCUCAUCUCAACACAUCAGUAUUCAAGAAAAAGUUGAGCAGAAUUUGAUUUAUCAGACCUUAUCAUGGUCAGACAAUUAUGUGAUCGCAGAAGUCAUAUUUAGACUGCAGAUCAGAGAUAGAUUUCGUCCACAUACAGAAAUUGCAUGCCUCUAAGUAAGCUGGUUUCAGAAACAGAAAAUAUAUGUGUCCGACUGCAACUGGCACUUGCAGUUAAUAUACCAGCCUUUAAACUGCAGCAGGUAACCUCUGGAAAAGGGGCAGGGCUGACAGUAGCAGUGCGGCAGCCGCCCUUGAAUUACCAGAGCACAUCUGUAGCAGGCCUCAGUGAGGUAAGAGGGGGUCAUACAGGAUCUUUGUAUCAAUUAAUUUCAUUGAUUUAGCAUCACUUCAUUUUCAUGGGCUACAAUUUUCAUGGGUUAGGUAGCUUCUCAGUUCUUUUUGCAAGGGUAAACGUAUAAUUGUAACAAAAAGGUUCGGCAUUUGCUUAGGGCUCUGAGGCAGAAGCUGUGAUAGAUGUCAAGGCCAUUUUAAGACACUGCCACCAGCAACAGGCUACUCACCAGUCAUUUUUCCUCUGUGACAAGGUUAGCAGACCCAUAACAAGGAGGCAGAUGCACGCCAAUAGGCUUGACGAUGCUUAGGGGCAGCGGUUAUAUGCAACGGCUCCAACUGUGGAAGUGAUACACUCUGUCAGAGGAGUGGGGAAGGCACUUGGACAGUGACGCCUUAAACCCCGGUGACUUUCUUCUUCAGUGCAUGCCUAUCAGUGCGUUUAAAUGACUGAAUUACCAAAAAGUCAAGGUAACUGACCUUGUGGAAAAAUGACUUUUCAGGCUAGCUCUCCUUGCUUUGAAAUCUCAGAAGGCUGGAUGCAAGAAGCCUAGCAGGCUUAGGUACUCCCUGAGUCAUGUUUUUCCACUGCAUGGACCUUGUAUGGUUACAGGCAGGGCUGGAGAUACGUGCAAAAUGCAGGCAGACAGAGCAGGUAAUGCUCCCUCUGUACUAGUGCAGAUGAUUACCCAAAACGCGCGACAACGGUAAAAUGAUGCCUCUGCUGCCAAGUGGUUCUGAGAAGUAGGCAGUUUCUGCUGUCAUCUCACGUUUGACUCAGCCCUAUUAGGUAAGACCUAAAAAGGUGGACAAGAAAGUGGGCUCUUUCGUGUGCAGCAGUUAAUAGCCAGCUUCUUCAGCCAGAAAUGACACCAUAGGAGCAGACAGUGAACCCUGUUUUCCCUACUCCUCAUAGCAGCCUAUCAUCAUAAGAAAGAUAAACAACAGCCACCUUGCUUUUGGAACAGGUUGGAAAUCCGCAGCAACGCUUGACUUUUUAUACCCUGGGUGAUCACUACACACUUACAAAGCAGUAUGCUCUGCAUGUGUGCCUAUACAUCUUGUCUCAGAUCUGUCCUGGGGGAAGUUACCAUGAGCAUAAUACUAACAGCAUUUCCAUCUGCUGGUAAGAAAACUGGGAAAAUGGCAUAUAAGAGAGGAUGGCAUCAAGCAUGGGACAGACUUUCAGAUCUCAGAGUAUAACCUCUUGCUUCAAUAACGGGGUCUUGCACCCUGGGACGCGAUGGCAGACAGUGAAUGACCUGAACUGCUGGGAACAUGCGUGAGUUUGUUCUUUGUCGUUCCCAUGCAGUCCUCUAGUGCAGACACGUUUUGUGUGCAAAUGCAGCUCUUGCAGAUAUAUCACAAUUGAACAAGUCCGUAGCUAUAGGCAUACGUAUAAAGAGGUGAAGGAUCAAGGCAUUAACCUGAACUAAACCAUACCAGAGCUGCUAGCACAGAACGCGAACACCGCCAAGCUACUGAGGGGAUGGAAAAGAACAGGCUGUAUCUUCAAAGGCACACAUCAGAGAGACAUAUUUAGCUCUUAUUCAUCCAGGAGAGUAUUUCUCACUAAUGGGGCAGGCCUGAAUUAUUUUUAGGGGUUGCAUCAUAAGUCUGCAGCUUUAAAAGAAAGGGAAAGAUGAGGCUAUCUUGUCAUAUGGAGAUUUAUCCUGUUGUGUUAGUGGGGAGUGAUGCGUGCGCAGGACUGGGAAGCUGAGGAAUGUAUAUUGAUAUAUGCAAGACAUGAUGUGCUGCAGUGCUCUGUCAAGUACAGCAUCAGGAUUUAGUAUUACUAGCUGUGACAGUAGUAGUCUACAAACCCUAACCUCACACAUGCUGUCCUUACUCUGGGCUGGGUAUGUCUAGCAGAUUGAACCCAAAUGAGUAUUUCAUAGCGAGAACCCUUUUAAGACUGAACAGUUUUAUAUGGGAACUACCUAACAGAGGCAUGCUUCAUAGGCUCACAGUAUUGAGAGCGUUAUCUAGUUUGCUACCCAUCUAAAUAGGUAGCUGUUUGGCUUUAGCAGACCUGUUCCAGCCUCAGUGAGACACUUCGGUCCUUCAGUGACCUUGUUCUGCAGCAGAAAGAAAAGGUGACUUUCCAAGCCUGACUGCAGCAUUGCAAUCAGCCCCGUCCGAGAGAGAUGGUUAGCGUUCCAGCCUGGCUCCCGAAGGCAGAACGAAGCAGCGGUGUCAAACGUUUUUCUGAGCGCAGGAGAGGCUCCCUGUUAAGGCAGCAAGCACGCUGCUGCCGCAGAACCACAUCCUGCUCCUGGUGGCCGGAGCUGGGGGAGGUGGCCAUUUUCCGAACCAUUAUCUGAUGUGCUUGUCAGAGCAGCUGCAGAAUCUAGAAAACAUCUAGCUGCAAUCAACGAACAAUGUUACCAGGUGUUUCCCCUACAGACAGAUCUAGUCAGUACAGAAGUGCUUCAUCUCAUGUAAAUACUAAGCAAAUCUUUCACCGCUUAGUCCAUUUGCAUAUUUGUAUUUACUGAACUGUGGAUCUGUCCAAAAUGAGUAAAAGGUAAGUUUAGCAAUAGCAGAACUAGCUGCACGCCAGACCUUUGGUACACACAAAAGUUGCAGCCAACAAGAAAUCUUUCCGACUCUACAGCCAUCUUUAAAACCAGUUUAAGUGUGUUGCCUGAGAGGACUACACACAUUUAAGUAGAUCACAACUGCUGCUUUUUUAGAACAAGAACUUUCACCGCUUUUGGUGUAAAGAUGAGUCUUUUGUUGUAGGCUUUUUGUAUUGAACCAAAUUGUUUAAAUUACAGCUAGUGUCCAAAUAUUAGAAAAGUAGCUGGCAAACGUAGAAGGGCAUAGAGCAGAAAGGAGGUAGUGCUGGGGAUGAGCUAACCAUGUCGGCUGGCUUGCUUUUUUCACUGUAGGAAUUGCUGUAAUGGGGUGUGAGCUGCUCAAACACUGCUUCAUGCUUUUGCUAGCUUUUUCUGCUAUAAAGCACUUUCAGGUGUCUUAUUAACCCCAAGAGAGUUUUUGUUCUUUUUUAUUUUUCAUACAGAAUGAUUCAAAGAAAGAAUCAAGUCCUUCCCCCUUCAUCUCUGCUCCUCCGUCAGGGAGGUUAUUUCUCUUCCAGCAUCUAAGUUGAAAUCUAAGCUCUACUGAGUCAAUGGCAAAUUUCCCACUGACUGCAGUAAAGCAAGAAAUUCUGUCCUUAUGGCUGGAGUAGGGCAUUUUAGACAGAAAAAUAGCACAGCUUCUUAGACUCUAUAUCACCUUACCAAGAGUAACCCGUUGAAUGAAGUGGCAGCGUAAUAAUUAGAAAGACACCUUUAACCAUCCUGACAGAAUGGGAAGACACUAAAUAUAUUGCUGUUAGUUGUAGUUCAUGAUCUUAAGUACAUGAAAGAAGUAUUAAUAAUAUACUUUGCUAAUAAUAUGGUGAUUAUUAGACCAGUUUAGAGUAUACUCUAUGAGGUUAACUGUAAGUGCAAACUUAAUUCCCAUGGCUAUUUUUCAGUGGUGAAUUUUAUGUGGCUAUGUUUAUUUAUAAGAGGAUCAUAUUUCUGGGCUUUUAUAAGUGGUUGUGUGCCAUCUAGUGGGUUAAUCUAGUUUUGCAGAAGAGCCAUAGGAUGAUGAUUUCUCUGUCAUCUCAGGCCAGUCACCACAGGACACAGAGGAUGGAUGGUUCUUUACAGUUGCACUGUUACCAAGACCCUCACUAGCAAACAAGAGGAAGUUUAAUGGUUAAUAUAUAGGCAAGAUUUUCCUAGCUGAUAUAACCAACAGCAAUAUUAAGUACACAAAAGAUAUCACCACUGAUAGACCACAAAUCACUUACAGACAGAGGAAAAGGAUAAUUUGCAGUAAUUAGCUCUAGCUGUCAGUGAGCUCUCUCUCCCCCCCCAAGAGCACUGAGGGGAAAAAAAAACAAAAAAAAAAACAGGAGUAUCAAUGUAGAUGACAAGGUCAAAACUUUUUCUGAUGCUUUUCAAUAGCAUUAAGAAAAGCCAUGGACACCUGAUAGAAACCAGCAGUGGGCAGCUGCUCUGUGUUACUGUAGGCAAGACCAAACACUUCUUGAAUCAGUAUCUCAGAACAGUUUCAGCACAAGUUAAUUAGAAAUAAGGGAAGACCUAAACAUUAAUGCUAGCAGGUCAUUUACUCGUGUAGAUGGACACGUUCUUCUCACUGAUUGAUGCAACUAGGGAUUAAUACCAUUACAAUCAAAGUUUCCCAAACUGUAUAGUAGCAUACAUUAGAAUAGGAUUUCUGUUUAAUAUACUUCUCCUUUUAGUCAACAUAACAUAAUAAUUUUGUCUUUUAUUUUUGGAACAGAUCUCAGUCUGAAUUAGGAGUUUCUUAAAGAUGCUCUCAACCUUAUCUAGGUCCUGGAAAGACCCACAAUACCAUUUACUAAUACUUCCCUAAAUUAAUGACAAGCAGAUCUGACAAGUAUAUGUAUGUAUGUGUAAUAACACUCCACCCCUUCCCCCCCCUCCUCCAGUGGGCACCUUUAAAGCAGGAAGUCUGCAUAUGUUACGAGGAUGGCUGCACAAGGCAGCCAGGAGAGGAGCCAGGGCUGGUCUGGGAUGCUGGCACGCUCUACAGCCGAGGUGGACUCCAGGCCCAGCGCGAGUCCCUGCAGCACCACAUGCCAAGUGUGGGAAGAGAGAGGUUAGACACCCUGGGACAAGAGCCAAAGGCAGCUGGCACGCUCAGCGAGGAACCGCCAGAGUCAGCACAGUCCUCCCCAGACCUUGUCAGUAAGAAGCCGUGAGGAUAUAGGCAAGUCCCACGUCCUUUUCCUCUUUGGAGGUUAUUCAUGGCUGCUGACAAGCAUCUUCACAGCCCUGACCCCUCUACAGAGCUGUAUGUCCUUUUACCAAGUUCAGUGCAGAAGCCAGUCACCCAGAAGAUGUUUGGACGCUCCUCUUAGAUUGGCUGUUAGAGGUGGUGUUCAAUGGUGGUGCUCCAUUUUCACCUUCAUUCCUCUCAGAUAAAGCCCACAGGACCAACUAGAACUAUUUCCCUCCUCAGCAGGGAGAAGGGGCUCGAUCACCUCUGAAGAAACAUUGCUCUGUGGAGACAUCUCAAAGCGAGGGCUUUGUAAUGCAAACAGUUUCUCAGGACAACAUUACAUUGAAAGAAACAUGACAAAAAAAUUGCUGUACACAAUCUGUCAUAGAAACUAUGCAAAGUCUGCGUACUUUUAGGUUCAAAUAUUCAAAUAUUACCAGCAGAGCUGGAAGAAAGACUUUCUGUGACUUUGGCUUUGUUCUGAAACAGAAGGUGACUUUUGCUGACUCUACAUGGUCUUGAAAAAUGUCGGACUUUUGCUUUGGUGUUACGAUGAAACUAAUAAAAAUGAUUGGCAUAGAUCAA